AACCUGCCCAAGAGAUCGGGAUAACACCUGGAAACAGAUGCUAAUACCGGAUAACAACAGAUGAUGCCUAUCAACUGUUUAAAAGAUGGUUCUGCUAUCACUCUUGGAUGGACCUGCGGUGCAUUAGCUAGUUGGUAGGGUAACGGCCCACCAAGGCGAUGAUGCAUAGCCGAGUUGAGAGACUGAUCGGCCACAUUGGGACUGAGACACGGCCCAAACUCCUACGGGAGGCAGCAGCC
RNAcentral lists this ribosomal RNA (239 nucleotides) under uncultured Lactobacillus sp. RNAcentral describes it as "partial 16S ribosomal RNA". It matches the Rfam family "Bacterial small subunit ribosomal RNA", at positions 123 to 355 of the family's 1533-position model. The record is from RNAcentral. Lineage: Bacteria; Bacillati; Bacillota; Bacilli; Lactobacillales; Lactobacillaceae.